GAUGAAGAACGUAGUGAAAUGCGAUACUUGGUGUGAAUUGCAGAAUCCCGUGAACCAUCGAGUCUUUGAACGCAAGUUGCGCCCGAAGCCACUAGGCCGAGGGCACGCCUGCCUGGGCGUCACACGUCGUUGCCCCCCCAUCUACUCCUUCGGGAUUGCGGGGGGGCGGAUGAUGGCCUCCCGUGCGCCUAGCCGCGCGGUUGGCAUAAAUACCAAGUCCUCGGCGACGCACGCCACGACAAUCGGUGGUUGCGAAACCUCGGUUGCCCGUCGUGUGCGUUCGUCGCACAUCGAGGGCUCGAAAAAAUGCUCGGCUCCGGCUGGGCUUUCAACGCGACCCCAGGUCAGGCGGGGUUACCCGCUGAAUUUAAGCAUAUCAAUAAGCGGAGGA
This 391-nucleotide unclassified non-coding RNA is filed under the name soil metagenome. RNAcentral's name for it is "partial contains 5.8S ribosomal RNA, internal transcribed spacer 2, and large subunit ribosomal RNA". The stretch from base 1 to 122 matches the Rfam family "5.8S ribosomal RNA", at positions 35 to 154 of the family's 154-position model. The record is from RNAcentral.